Molecule: ribosomal RNA, 254 nt
Filed under: uncultured bacterium
Lineage: Bacteria
Description: partial 16S ribosomal RNA
Rfam family: Bacterial small subunit ribosomal RNA
Source: RNAcentral
GACGAACCGUGCGAACGUUGUUCGGAUUCACUGGGCUUAAAGGGCUCGCAGGCGGCCAACUAAGUCAGACGUGAAAUCCCUCGGCUUAACCGGGGGAACUGCAUCUGAUACUGGAUGGCUUGAGUUCGGGAGAGGGAUGCGGAAUUCCAGGUGUAGCGGUGAAAUGCGUAGAUAUCUGGAGGAACACCGGUGGCGAAGGCGGCAUCCUGGACCGGCACUGACGCUGAGGAGCGAAAGCCAGGGGAGCAAACGGG